UUGAUUGUGCUGACUUCUACUUUUAUGGCUUGUAUUGGCUAAAUUGAUUUAUGGAGUGGUAGGGGCAUCUGUAGCAUGAUAGGUUUGUAUAACUUGUUUUAGUUAAACCAAGUUAAUGCUUUAAGAUUAUGUGCCCUGCUUGAGUUGAUAUUUAUAUUUAUCCAUGUUAGAAUCUUAAUUGCCAGAAUCAUGAGUGGAUGUGGGAAAGAAGAUUUGUGUAGAACUGUUUUGAGUGAGGAAGUUGGUGUGUGUUCGAGAUUUCUUGAAGAUUUUGAAGUGGGUUUGGCACACUAGGUAAAUGAUAAGAAUAACAUUUUGAGUAACAUGUAGGUAGGGUUGUCAAAUGAAUGACACGUUCAUGAGUAGCUUAUUAUUUAGCUCAUUAUUGGCUCACUUGAUAAUAAGCAAGCAGAAUGGGAGUUGACAUUUAAGCUCAAAAAAUAAAUGAGUUGAACUUGAGUUGGGCCAAGCUGCUUAUGUUCAGCUUGAUAUAGCUUUGAAAUAAAAAUAAAUAAAUAAUAUCUGAUAACCAUUAUUAAAUAUUAUUAGAUAUAACUUAUCAUUCAACAAUAAUAAUUUUAUCUGAGGAAAGGUAUACUUAAGCCGUUAAUCUAGUGGAUGAAACCUAUAUUUUUGGGACCUAUUAAGGAAUUCCCCUAGGAGGGUUAGCCUUGAUUAAAUUGUAAGUUGCUCCAUUAUGUCCUGGGCAUCAUGGGUUGGAAACAUGGAACAUUCUCUUCACAAAUCGAGGUAAGGCUGCAUACAUAUGACCUUCCCUAGAUUCUGUAGUGGUAGGAGCCUCGUGCACUGGGCUAUGCCUUUUUUUCUUAAUUAUGGAAUGCCCCUAAGAAGAGUUCCCCUAUUAUAUUAAAUGAUAUGUCGGUGAUUGGUUACAAUGGGAUUGAGAAAUCUAAGUUUUGUAUUUACAACUAAUAUUUCAUGAUAUAAAUUAGCAACAACUAAAUUUCCUAAUAUUACCAACUUUAAAUCUAUCAUUUAUAUUUCACUAAAUUAAAUUGUAACUCUAAAUAAGGUGGUAAAAAAGGAAUAAGUGCAAUAUACAGGUAGGUUAGUGAUUGAGAUGGAGAGAUUUUUAAGGAAAUUACUGAGUAAAUUUAGAAAGAUAAUGGGUGAGUGAUAUAUUAUUGUUUAACUAAAUGUUAGUAAACAAUAAUAAUUCAACAUCAUUAGUGGUAAGUAGGGAUUUGUUAACAUUUUUAUUUUUAUUUGUUAACAUUUUCACCUGUCAUUAUUUUCUAAAUAAAGGGGAGCACGAACUGUUCUGGUUGUACUUGUUUUCCAAUUGACCUUUCCCGAGAUUUCUUUUUCCUUGUUGGAUUUGUCUAUUUUCUUCUAAUACUUCUGCUAAAUAACAGCCUAAUUUUUCCGAAACAUGUUUUAGUAUUAUAUUGGUUUCUUCUUCUUUAUGUGUGUGUGUGUGUGUGUGUGUGUGUGUGUGUGUGUGUGUGUGUGUGAUUUUGGGCAUUGACUAAAAGUCAUUUGGGUUUUGAAUGGCGAGUUAUGCUUUCAAUUGUUCCUAUCAUUUUGUCUUUUGUGUUGGUCAUGUGCUACUGCUCCUUUUCAUGACUUAGCUUUUAGCUUUUCUCAAUCAUUUAUGUCCUUCUUCAUUCACUCGUUUUAUUCUCCCCUUUUCUCUUAGAUGUUUCAUUUUUGCUUUAUUGUUACUUUCUCACCGCAAAUUCGUUCCCCUACUACACUCUAUGCCUGCUUUUGGCUUCACUACCACUAAGUUUUCCAUGAUGCGAUGCUUUACAAUGUACUGUUAAUGUUUUAAUUGCUGCUAUGGCAAAUGGAUGGUGCAGCCCAUUAAUCUAUGUUAUCUGACAAGGCCAAAAAUGGCUUUCAAGGUUUCCAUUUUCAUCUUUUUCAUAUCUUUAUUCACUAGCAUCUAACAUUGGAUUAAUCUAUUGAUGACCAUGAUAGGGUUGUCUUUUCAUUUUUCACAUAAUUGACAUUCAAAUAGCUUGACAAAAUAGACUCAUCCCCUACAUUUCCCACUUCUAUGACUGGCUGGAUGAAGAUUGCAUCUAUCAAAUUCUAUGGAUUACAUAUCUGCUCAACCUAUAAAUGGUUCAUUAAGAAGUUAUGCUUUCUACAACCCUGUUUUUGUCGUCAUUUUUUUGUAUCUUCAUUUCAACAGUGCGACUGAAUUAGUGAAUUGAUGGAUCACAUCCUAUCUGAUAAUUUCAACAGCAUUGUCUCUUCAUCUUCAAAUAAUCAGCACUCAUGCACUUCAAGAAAUUGUGAUCUUGACUAUAUCCAAGAAACUUAACUCUGUAAAAGCCAGUUUAUUUUGUCAAUUCAGAUGAUGGAACCAUAACUUGUUCUAUUCUGCAAUCUGUAAUGGCAUCAUGUCUUCCUUUUCAUAAUCCUUAAAAUUCACUUCUUAUCUCUGGACAGCAGCAUCUUGAAAUUCAUUACUUCUCAUCUGAACAAUCAAAUCAUAAAUUGUUUCAGUUUUUUGACUUAUUAAAUUGCUUCUUCCAUGUAAUUGAUAUACUCUGUUGAAAGAUCUGGUUAAUCUUGGGUGCAGGCAUCAUCCUUUUAUUAUGGUUUGCUUCUUGGGAUGAAAAUUUGUUUGGUCACAGUGAAUUUAGAGUUUACCUGACUAAAAGGAGACCAUUAUCUGAUUCAGAUCUGACCGGAACCCAACCUAUUAGGAACAUCAGCAGGUCAGACCUAUACCUGACCCUACCAUAAGCCAGUUAGUUGCAGUCCACCUCAACCCAGAGUUGCCUGAGUUAAUCCCAUCCUUCUGUUUUAUUGUAUGUAUAACCAUGAUGUGGCUGCUGAGAUAGAGCAAGGAUGUUGAUGACGUAGGAUAAGAAAAAUUGGGAAGAGGUGGAGGAAGCAUUUGGCUAUUAAUCCUUUUAUUUCCUUUUUGUUUCACUUCUUAAGAAAUAUUCAUAUAGUUGAAUUCUUGGAUUUAUUUUGGUGAGUGGAAAUUGAAAAGCCUAAAUAGCUAUUAGGCAUAAAAGAAAAUUUUCUGAUUUUUCACCCUGUUGCGAGCUUUCCAAUUUUUUGUAUCCACUUACUGGCCAAGUAUUGCUGAUAUCCACUAAUUGAAUUCUUAUUUAGAGCCUGUUUGGAUAUUUCUACAGGAUUGGGCUGAAAAUUCUAUAGGAAUCUGGCCUGUUUGCCCAUUGAUCUUGUAUUUUCUAGGAGUCAGGCCAAACCUAGCCCAAAUUCUAACUUUUGGGCUAUGGAAAAAANNNNNNNNNNCUUCCUACAGGAUUUGGGUUGGGUGGUAUUUGGUUGGUACAAGGCCAUGAUUUAAAUAUAUAGCCCAAUUCACAAAUGCUACAGGAUAUUCAACCCAAUUCUGUAGGAAUAUCCAAACAAAUCCUUAGUAUUUGAGUUCUCUCCCUUGGGCUUUCAAAUAAGAUACGAAUAUUACUGAGACUGGCAUUCCUUCUGGCUAGACUAGAUGAAUCUUCUUCUUCUUAGCGUGCCAUCUCUAACUAGAUUGCCCAGUUCCGAGGUAACACUUGCCAAAAGUAGAAAUUGGUGUGACAUCUUUGAGACCACUGUAGCAUGGAGGUUAUAUUUGAAAUGCUUCAUAACAGAUUUAUUAAAGGCUGUCUGCAGCUUGAAUUCCUAAUUCAGGAACUUGGUUGUCUCACCAUGUUUGUUGUGUAUAAGAAUGGCUUCUAAAUGGUAGUAAAUUAUAUGCUGCCUUUUGUUCCAACUGUUUCUUGUAUUUUAUGUCUUUGCAUGAUCUGCUGGAAUUUUUUAAGAUGCUUCUGUAUCCUUUCUUACACAAAUAAUAUUUUGUGCAGUUGUUCAGUAUGAAGCGCGCUGAGGACAAAUGUGAAAGGAUGUCCUUGGUGGUGGAAGCUGUUGUCUACCGAAUGGCGUACUGCAGUGUCGGAGUUUUUUAAAAAACAAUACUCGUGGUCUUUGUGUUUAUAUGGAUAAUUAUGUCUGAGUGAACUUUGUUUCUGUAAUGGCUGACUGUUAUCAUAUGCUGUUUGCUUAGUAAUUUCGUUAUACAUCUUGACAGCAUUUCUUGGUCCCGUCAGAAAUUAGUAUUUUAUCAGUUGGUGGAGUUCCUGCAUAUAUAUAAAAUGUGUAAACCAUGAUAUUUAUGCUUUGAAUUGGAAUGCUCUGUGGGAAGAUCUCUAUGGCCAAGUAUAUCUUUAGAGGACGAAGUUGAACAUCUUUAUGUUAUAGCUUGGGGAAUGUAAUACGAAUGCAUUCUUGGUCCACGCAGGGAAAAAAUAAAUUGCGGCUCCAGAUCUUAACAGGAUUUAGUGAGACAAAGUAUUCAUAAGCAAUCCUCUUCUCAAAUUGGAAAGAAAAAAUUGCGACUCGAGAUCGGUUUAACACUUUGUUGGUUAACAUUGCAAGCUUGCUGAAUCUGUGUAAGAGGAGAACUUGCAGAUACUUUUGAAUUUGCUGGUUAACAUUGCAAGCUUACUCAGUAAAGGAGAUCUGGCAGGUAUUUUUGAAUAAUGCACAAAGCACAAUUUGCAAGGAGGUUAGUGAUACAGAGUUUUAUAUUCUUGUAAGUGGAGCUCAAGAUUAGUCUAGAAGAGAACAAAAUGGCUCUUAUCUUCAUUCAUAGAGAUGGUGUCCUACGCGAUUUUUAAAUCUCAUUCAUAUUUCAAACACUGCUUCAUUAACUUUGAAGAAGGAGAUGUUCUGUCCUUUCUUGUCAUAAUUUUAAUAUUGAAAACGUUAGAGGUCGGAGAUAUGAUGGCGCUAGUAGUAUGAGAGAUGAAUGGAAUGGUCUGCAAGCAUUAUUUUUGAUUGAAUUGCCCAUAUCAAUAUUAUAUACACUGGCACAACCACUUUCCAACUCGCAAGCUUAUCUAAAACUAAUCUAAACUAAAUCAAAGCAAAGCAGAAUUCCUGAAGGUGUUGGAUAGAACAGCUGAAGAGCUAUAUCAAUGUCCUCUAUCUCUUGCAAAUUCCAUAUGCACAUUUUAGGUGUGCUCUCUAUCGUGGCAAAAUAUUAAAACAUUGGCAUACAAGGAGAAACGAGGAACCCUAUCUAUCUUAAUUCAUCCACUGGGGUUUCAAAUGGAUUGUAUGCCGGCAUGAUGAAAGUUGGACACUGGGUAGUUGUUGGAGGUUGACAUGGAAAGAGAGCAUUAAAAUAGCGAGCAGCCUCAGCGGGCGACAAAGACCAAGAUAGGCCGAAAUCUUAAUUUAUCUCAACUGAUGGAAGGUUGAAAAUUUUAGAAUUUUCUGAAGAUUUGAUUGAUAUUCUAGUGCCAAGCUAAGAAUUUGGUUAAUAUGGUCAAUCCGAUACUAACUAUUAUAUUUAGGCAUUGAUAUUGAAAAUUGUUGAUUGACAAAGCUAUCUAAAGAAGUAAAAAAAAAAAGGUGAGAUAGAAAAGAUGAGUUUGUAAAAUAAAAGAAAAUAAAAAGUUAUUGUUUUCUCCAUCUUUGGCUGCUGCUUCGAUGGCUAAAAUGGAUUGACCAACCCAACCCCUUAAAUAUCCUGCAAUUAGUGCAGAGAGACUCUCAUCAGAUAGAACCUGGGCUAGACUUUGGUUGGGCAAUUGUAAGUAGAUUUUCUUAUCAGCUGAUAUAUCGAGACUUAUCAAUUUAUCAUUUGCCACCAUCCAAGAUUGAAUGAGAACAUCCUUCUACAGGGAGCUGUGCGCCAACCAAGCUAACUUACAGUUGUUGGCAGCAUUCCUCUAACCACUAAGUCUUCUCCUAACCACUAAGUCUACCCAAACCAAUGCCCGCCUCGAAUCGGUUGAGUCCUCCCUACAGAGACUCAUUGAAUCCAAGGAAGAUAACGUCACCCACUCUCGAGGUCUAGACUUCGAUGAAAUCCUAGGACUGCACGGCUCAGUUCGACAGGAUAAUUUUGACCAUAUACCUUUACAAGGUCGUCAAUAUGCCUACCCUUUCCCUAGAGGAGCGGACACCUUCCCUAAUGUUGACCGAGGUCAUCGCUAUAAUGUGGAACCGAGACAGCCUCGUGACCAUGAUGACGAUGUGAUGAACGGCAUUCGGGUUGAGGCCCCCACCUUUGAUGGUCGCCUUGACCCAAAGGUCUUCUCAGACUAGUUGCACGAAAUGGACCACUUCUUUGAGUGGUAUAAUUUAUCUGAAGACAAAAAGGUCCGGUUUGCUCGAAUGAAACUCAUUGUUCGAGCCAAGCUAUUUUGGCAAAAUACUAAACAACUUUUGGCUAGGAGACGUCAACCUGCCAUAACUGAAUGGGUUGAAAUGAAGGAAAAACUUAAAGAAAAAUACUUGCCCUUUGGCUAUAAAAAUGAUAUGCUUGAUCGAUGGAACAAUUUGAGACAAGGUACCCAAUCGGCCAUGUUUGAGAGGCGCCCGAACAUUCAGGGCACUUCCACGACUCUUAAUUUUUCAGGGUCCAAGCCUUCUGUAGGGUCCACUACUCCUAGGCUCCCUCCUGCUGUUCCUAUACUUUAGUGUUACAAAUGCCAAUGUUUUGGUUACGUUGCCUCCCAAUAUGCUAACAAAUUUUUCGUUAUUGUUCAGCAAGAGUAGGGAGGUGACACAGAUGAUUUAGAGGAGCAAAUCUAUGAACCAAACCUCGAUGACAUUCAGGACAUUGAAGAAGAGUGUAAUGACAGAUCUGAUACCCUAGGAAGCACCAGCACAGUACUCAUAUCAUUUGCAUGCAAUAAUAUAGUCAACAAGCCCGUAGGCAUGAGUCCAUUUGAGAUAGCACAUGGUUACAUAAGUAAAAAACUUUUAGAUCUCUUGCCCAUGUCACAUUUUAGGAUUUCCGAGUCUGCACAUGUACUAACAUAGCACAUUCAUGCAUGUACUGCUCAAUCUAUGGUGAAAGCUGAUUCCAACAAGCAUACCAAAGAAUUUUAAACUUAGGAUUAUGUAAUGAUCCAUCUUAAAGAAUUGCAGUCUUUUAGUGUUGGACCAUUCAGGGUGUUGCACAAAAAUGGCACUGACGCCUAUGCCAUUGAUUUUUUAUUUGAUUUUGGUCAUAGCCUUACUUUUAAUAUUAAAGAUUUAGUUGCAUUUUCUGAUGGCUCUUUUGCUAAACCCUCUCCUGAGCUAAUUGCUUAUCCUAUUACUGAUUCCGUGUCAUUUUCGUCUCAAUUUCUCCUCCAUCGAGCACAAAAAGAGUAUAUUGAUUCUAUUUUAGUCGAGCAAAUAGUUUUUGAUAGUAAUGGAGGCAUCCAGCAUUUUCUGGUUCGUUGGCGUGGUCUACCAAAGUCCGGUUACACUUGGAUCCCACGCGAGGAGCUACAUCAGAUUGAUCCGAACUUGUUAGAGUACUACCGAAGCUUUACCGAGCCACUUUAGUCGAGGUCAACUUCUUUCCACUCGGAGAGAGUGCGGACACCAGUGCCAGAUCAGCCGAUCGCCACAGAAUCUAGCUAGCUCAGCGGGUCCUAGUCGAUUCAGCCAGCCUAAUUUUAUUUUCGAUUGAUUUAUUUUAGAUGGAUAUAUUUUAUAUUGAUUGGAUUUAUUUGCAUAUUGUCAUUUUAGAGCCUUUUUGGGAUUGUUUUAUUUGUAGGGGUUUAUUUGUUAUUUUGUGACCCUAUAUAUAUGGAUCCAUGCUCAUGUUUAGGAUGAUAAAUGAUGAAUGAAAAUUAGCCUCCCUAUCUUCUUCUUCCUCCUCCUCCCUUCUCUUCUUCUUCCUCCUCCUUCCUCUUCUCUUCUUCCUCUCCUCUCCUUCUCUCUUUCUCCCUCUUUUCUCCUCUGUCCUGCAUCACUUCCACAACAAAAACCAAGAAGAAAAAAAAGAAGAUGUUUUUGUGUUCACUUUCUCAGCAACAAAACAAGAGCCUUAAAGUUUUGCCUGACUUCGCUUCUAGCGUACUGGACCAUGUGCUGGUUCAAAACUAGGUUCAUUGAGAAGUGGACAAUAACAGAAUACAAACAAAUUAUCUUAUACUUUUCUCUUUAAUCACAAACUACAGAAAUUACCACAACUGACCUAUUUAUCCUCUCAUGGAAGAAAGUGCAAAAUGUUUGUUGGAACUUCUGUGCAACAUAAAGGUAAUUCGAGUAACCCACAAUUCCCGAGCAAGCACUUUUUAUAUACUCUGGAUCCAUGCCAUAUUGGCCUGCUGCUUUCAGACACUGUUUUAUGGGCUCCUGUCAUAAGCGAUAGGGUAAUUAAGGCUAUAUUUUUGGCAUUCAGCCAUCCAAACACUUGCGAUCCUCAACUAUUUUUGGGCUGAACAUGUGUAGAUUUUCUCUUCCCACAGAAGGUGAUACAAUAGCAUGAGAGCUAAGAAAUGGUAUAGCUGUAUGCUAGAAUGAGUUAAAUAAUUCUUGUGCUGUUCAACCUUGUCCACCAUUUCCUCUUUGCCUUAUCUGAAUUGGCAUCAUCAGUUCUGAGCUUGUUUAUAAUCACCUUGCUCUCUCUUAGCCGCAAACUAAAAUCCUUCUUCCAUGAUUCAAAAUUCUGCUUUAGCCUCCUCAGUUCCUUUUCUGGAUUUAGACUUGCCUCUGCAUGCCCCGACUUCACCUCCACCAAGAAGUUCACAUCAUCUGCAAAAACCUGACUCUGCUGCUCAAAUUCCUCGGCUAAGCAGCUGAUAACAUUAAGGCCUGCACUCAUAUCUCUGUGCAGGACCCGGGACCCCACUCGCUUACCACUUUCCUCCCCCCAUUUUGUUCCAAUAUGGUUUCCAUUACUGUCCCAGCUUUGGUCCACGGAUGCAUCAGAUCUUCGCUCUGCAUCAUCAGUGGCAAGGCUUUUCUUUGCAACUGAGAGGCUGGACUGUAAGGAUCUCAUCUGUUUCUGCCACACUUCCUCCAUGGAUCUCAUCUUCUGCUCAUACUCUGACCAUCGGUUCUCGUACUGCUGGAGCCGCUGAUGGAGUAUGUCAUUCUCCUCUUCCUUCUCUCUUAGCGCAGCCUCAGCCUUUAGGAUUCUUCUUUGCAGCUCUGCAAGGAAGGAUGCCUUCACCUGCACUUCAUCAGAUUCCUGCAACAGGGAUUAAGUCAAUCGAACCAAGUGCGGAAGCAACAGAAGAAUAUGAGUUGCUUGUGCUACUACUAAAAUGAUUUAAACAAGGUGUCAAUGACAGAAAGGCUUGCUAAACCCAUCAGAGACAGGCCAAGUCUUAUGUUUUCUCGUCUUCCUGAAAAUUGUUCAUGAAAUUACAAGCUUCAUGGUUAACUCGACAAAACAAGGCAGGUACAUAAAAAAAAAUGUAAAUGGGAAGACAAUAGAAUGACAGAAUAAUAAAGGGUUGCAAUAAACAUCACAAAUCCACGGAUAGUGACAUAGCAGAGGUAGGCAUCCGUUUUGGAGAAUGCACGUGCAAAUACAUGAGUUAAAUUCAUAAACGACCAAGGUUUGAAAACUUGUCCUGGUUUUUGGUUUCACCUGGAUUUUGUUGAGGUUCAAUUUCUACAGCUUCAAGCUUUUGCAGCUUCAGAAGUUUUGCUCAAGGUUUUGAAGUUUUGAUCAGAAAAACCAACAAAAAUUCAAAAAAAUAAAAAAAAGAUUAUGACAAUAAAAGAAACCAAGAAACACAAUUACCCAACAUUUUAGAGCAUGUUGUAUUAUAUAGGUUCUUCAUCUCCAUAGUAAAUUUUAGGCUGAUAUAUCUAUUAGUAAGUGCACUACACACACACACACACACACACACACAUAUAUAUAUAAUAUACUUGUUUUUUGGACUGUAGUUGUUGGAAAAUACAUUUUAUUACAUUCUUAGUAAAACUCACACAUAUAUUGAAUUUAGAUUAUUUUUAGUAUUUUUAUAGUUAAGUGGUUAUUUAAUCAAAUGCAUGUAGCUACAAAUGUUAUAUUUAUUUUCUUUAAAACAAAUAAUUUUGCAAAACAUCUUGCAUCUCAUCGUUCACAUUAGUAUUUAUUAAGUACUAAGGGUUUUUUUUUAACAUUAUCUAGAAAGGUUUAAAGUUAUUAUCAAACUCCUCUUGUAACUCAAGAGAAAGAGAGAAAAAUAUCUAAAAGUUCGAUACCACAUAGCCUAUGCACUUAAAGUAAGGAAAGUAAUGUACCCAAAUAUAAUUAUAAACAACAAAAAUGGCAUGAAAUUAGCCAGUUUAAUUGAAACUGACAAUAACAGUAAACUGGAUGGUCAGUUUUGGCUAGGUAUCACCGUAUCAGCCAAAAUGGAUCAGUUUCAGCCAAAACAAUAACCUUCUAUAUGAUUAAUUUGUUGGGUUGCAUUAGGCCUAAUCUUAGUCAUUUUGGGCUCCAAGAUAGCAAAUUAUUUCCAGAUGAACUAGUCUGGUUUAUUAUAUUGGUUUAGGAUGGGUUUCAAUUAACUUGAACAUGACAUAACAUGUAGGUUUUGUCUUAAUUAAAGAAAUCAAAACAAGUGGAACUCAAAAUGUGUGUUGUGUGACUGCCAAGACAAAACUACUGAUCUCCUAUUUUUGACUUGCUUCUUCUUUAAAGAGUUCUGGUCUGAAAUAACGAAUAAGUUUCAGGCUAGAAAUGAUUCUCUUGUGGACAAUAUGGGAUGCACUACUUGAAUGGACUCACUUCAUAAUAAGACAGAAUUGUCUGGUACAUCAUCACAGCUGCUAUAGACUGGAGCAUAUGGCCAAAGAGAAUAAAGGGACUUUAGAGAAAAGAAGACCAAUGAGGAAGGAGUGUGGCAUGGAGCGUAGGAUCUAGUUUCUAAUUGGGUCUAUAUGUUGAAGGAAGAUGACAAGCUCAAGACCUUGAGACCUUCUCGAAACAAGGCCAUGCUUCUCUCGUCUAACUAAUAUCCCCCUACCCACUUCUUAUAGUCUCUGUAUCUAUAUUUCCUCCAUGUUUCUGAACUUUUCUCCCCUACCUGAGGAUGUUUAUGUCAGUUUCAUUUUUUCAAUGAAUUUGAUGGGAGAACAUCUUUCCUUUUCAAAAAAUAAAAUAAAUAAUAAUAAUAAUAAUAAUAAUAAUAAAUAAAAAAUAGACAAAUUUCAAGAAAAAAUUGUCCCAAAUUUCUUUCAUGGUUCAAACCUAGGACCCUCUCCUCAGCACACCAGGGAAAGGGUUUCCACCUAUCGACCCAAGUCCCGUAGGUGGAUUUCUCACAAAGCUUGCAUUGGAACCUCUACUCUUAAAUCCUUUCAUCAACAACCGCAACAUGCACUCCUCGGUUACAGUACCAAAGGGCUAUAAAUUUUAUAAUCUACUUAUAGGCUAUCGAUUCUGCACUCUACAAAAGGGCUACAAGCACUAUGAUGUCAUAAUAUAUAAUGCGAGUUCAUUUAUUGUGAACUGUAAUGGCCAACCACAAUGGGCUGUAGUUUGAAGGGCAAUUAAUGUUUUAAAAGGGUAAAGCCAUAUAUGCAUGAAUAAAGAUAUGGUUGAGCGGGCAAGCAAGCAAGCUUGCAAACACAAUAUUUUAAAACAAACAGCCAAAUAUAGCUGGAUGUUUGCAUCUGAAAACAUGAGGCUCACUCAUCUUUACAAAGACACCAUAUUGAUACACAACAUCGUUCUAAUAUAGGACUGUCACAGUCAGUGCUUAGGUAGUCUGCCACUCUGCCUAGAACCUAGGGAGGCCUUACCAUCAAGGUGCAAGAUAAUUAAGCAAUGCGCUAGUCAAUGCUAAACAAAGAAUCCAUUCACCAAUUCAUCAGUAGCCCUCUGCAAGUCCACUACCCACAAAAAGGACAAGCUCGCUUGCAGUUCAUCCAAAUAUUGACAACCCUCCAGAAUCUUUCUGCAACAAUUUGGCGGCCCAAACAGGUACAUUCUUUCACCUUUUCUUCUAUCUUCCUCUCUCCUAAUCUUAUUUCUCUUCUUUCCCUUUUCUUUUCUUCCUUUCUCGCUCUCUUCUUGUUGUAUUAUUCUUUUUCUUCCCCUUUGUACUCUGUUCUUUUUCAAUUCUUCCUAUACUCUCUGCCAACGAGCGAAGGCUUUGUCUACAAUGUUUUGCCCACCAGCAAAGCCCUGAUCUCUCUAUGCUACUUUGCCCAUGGAUAAAGCCUUAUUCUUUCAUACUUUGCCGCCCAUCGAAGGCUUAACACAUUCUGUUAAUACUUUACGAUUCAGCGAAGUCCCUACGUUCUGCUCAUACAAACAUUGACAAGUACUCUUCUUGGAAGUUCAUCAUCCCAAUAAAGCCACUAUCUUGUGGGGAUAAUCCCGUGAUGCAUAGGUUUCGCAGUGAAGCCUUUCCAUGAGACUAAUUUGAUCCCUAUAAAGUGAACAUAAGUUGAUUACGUGAAUAAUAAUGUGAAGUAAAAUAGCAUGAAUUCACAACAGUGGUCAAUUUUCAUGAUUAUAUCAUCUGAUCUGUUCACCUGAUUGACUUUCUGUCAGAAGAGCAUGAAAACAUUGAAAACAUCUUAGCACUCCAAAUAAGUCAAUCUCAUGUCCAAACUGUCGCUGCACCUUGUAGAUUCUAGGCCUAUGAAUCUGGAUUUUGGACCAAUUUUUCAAUAGCCGAAUUUUCUUUAGUUUAAGCAUAGGUCGUCUGGUGAAAUUACCAAUUUGCCCUUUCUUCUAAAAAAUAGAUAAUUUACAUAUAUUUAAUAAUAUUGAGUCAAAAUAUAACUCAAAAAAGGGAUCCCGGUGUAUAAAUCUCCUACCACGACAAGGUUUCAAGAGGGUCAAAUAUAUGCAGCCUUUUCCACAUGUGUAGAGAGACUAUUUUUCGUGUUUUGAACCUGUGACACCUAGGUCACAAUAAAACAACUCUUACCAUUGCACUAAGGCCCACCCUCUCAAAAUAUAACUGAAACAUCACUAUAAAUAUAAAUCAUAAAUCAUUGCCAAAGGCAUUCUCUCCCUUUUGUUAUCAUUAUACCCGAAAGAAUAAACUAUGCUCAAGAGUAUUUUUGCCAUUUUUUAUUAUAAUAUGCACAUCUUGCAUGUUUGUAUUUCUUUUAAAUUACUUAUAAAUUAUUGGACAGGUAAUUGAUUUUCAACUAGCUUAAUCCAUUGUAACAAGAUGUACAUAUUACGAUAUGUAUAUCAUGAUUUUCACAAGGCUAGAUCUUUUUCAGUUUAAGCUUUUGUGUGAACUCAUUGUCCCAACAUUAGCAUUGAAACCUCUUUAUUAGUAAUAGUGCGUGUUUUAAAAGCUCUAAGUUUCCCAGAAUGUUCCAAACAUCCUCAUAUUUAUUUAAACAGCUGCAUGGCUUAGUUUCUUCUUGGGUGGGGACAUCUUGAUCAUGAGAUCCUGCUACAUUAAACAUGGGUGGAGGUUGAGCCUUUAAUCCUAUCGAUAUUAGUACUUCUCAAGAUUUGUCGUAUCGGUCGGUACUGUAUCUGUAUGGAACCACUACGUAGUCUUGAACCGCACUGACACUCGGUACGCCUUACCGUCUCAUACUGUACCGCGUACCAAUAGGAUGGUACCGAUAUUAAGAUGGCGAACCUUGGUUUAUGCUUUGGGGUUAUAAUGGUAAAAAAAAGAUUGGUUAAAUAUAGUUGCAAGUGAAGGUAUCUGACCCUAAUGAUUUUCAGGAUUCUCUAAGAAGGUUUGGUUAAAUAUAGUUGCAAGUGAAAGUAUUAUAGCAACCCAAUCCCCGCAUAUUGUAAAGUUAAUCAGAUGCCAACUCACCUCCAAUCCCUUAUUUUGUGAAUCUACACACAAGCUUGAAUUGAAAAUGAUUCAGCCUAGUGAAGAUAAAAGGUAGAGAUAAGUAAUAUAUAAGAUGAGUGUGGGGACCAUAUCUCCUCCGUUUCCAAGACUCCUAGUUAAUUGUGCUCAUUUAUAUAAGCAAUCUCCAAUUGAGCUGGUUGAAAAUCAAUAAGCCAUCCAAGAUUGUAUAAAUAACAUUUAAGAGAUGCAAACAUGCAAGAUGCAGAUAUUAUGAUACAACAUGAAAAAAUAUUCUUGAUUAUACAUUAUGUUUCGAUAUAAUGAUAACAAAUGGAAGAGAACGCCUUGCUAAUUAUUUAUUAUUUAUAAUAAUAUUUGAGUUACAUUUUGACUCAAUAUUAAUAAAUAUAUGUCAAUUUUCAAUUUUUUAGAACAAAAGGCAAAUUGCUAGUUUAACCAAAUGACCUUGGAUCAUGCGUUGAAGGGGCAAUCGGAGAUUUCAUAGUGUCAAUUGAUUAUAAUUAUCCAUUUUUGAUUUAAGUUAUGAAGGUUAGAUUAAUAUUUAAACCACACACAAGUUUAGGUUGCAUUUCCAAUUUGAUUUGUGUCGGAUUAGGACUUAACAUGAGAUCUGGCCAUAUUUAUGAAACUGGAUACAAGCUUGAAUAUUAAUCAAUUAUAUCCAAGGUUCAUCUUUGAAGCUUCAAAGUUCAUUGAUUUUGACUAAUUUGAAGGAAGUAUUAUUGAAGGUCAAUUAGACCAUUGGAUGAAGUUUGGUUCAUUAUGAGUCAAAUUGGGCUCAAAUUGAGAACCAUCAUGAAACCAGCUGUAAGCCAACUAAGAUUAGGUUCAUGACCAUAGGGUCAAACCAAUCCAAGAUGGCAGAACUUCUAUAGCAGUAGCAUAAGAUUAGGUUCAUGAUCAUACAGUCAAAAUAAUCUGAGAUGGCAGAACUUUUAUUGCCGUAGCACAUGCAUUGCUGUACUCACCUGAUAUUUGAACCAGUGAUCAUCAAGUUAGGCGGUCUCCCUUAGGCUGAACUUAGCUCAAGUACUUCUAAGUAUCUGGUUCAGGUUCAGACCCAGACUCACAUAGAAACAGUGCAACUAAGUCACAUCUGACUCUGAUUUAUAUAAAAUAUUACCCCUACAUCAGAUGUGCAUAAGCCUAUGACAAUAAAAACCAAUUAAGUCCAAUUUAUGCAAUGUUACUGCAAGAUCCACCAUUGGAUUGCCUCAAAAUCUGAACAUUAAGGAGUCUUCUUUAAUAAGAUUAAACAGAAUUUUGAUCAGAUGAGCGAAACUGGUUUGAUGAAUCGUUGAAAUAUUGGGUGUUUACCAGCUUAAAAUCUAAAAUAGCAAGUCUGAAAUCCAAAGACACAGAUGAAUUAGAUCAGGAUUAAUUUAAUCAGUUUAAACAGAUUUUCGAUCAGAUAAGUUAGAUGAAUUCUACAAACUGAUGAAAAUUCGGGUAUUGAGAAACUGGUCCAAAUUCCAGAUUCAUAGGGUCUAGAUUUUAAAAGGUGCAGCAACUAUUCAUAUAUUGGAUUCAGGUGAAAUUUGGACUGCCAAGACGUUUUCAUGACCUUUUGAAGAAAGUCAAUCAGGUGAACAGAUUAGGCGCUAUAAUCAUCAGAAUAGACCACUGUCAUGAAUUCCUGCAAUUUUGCUUCAGAUCAUUAUUCAUGUAAUGCUCUAUAAAGAUCAAAUUAGUCUUCUCGCAAGGCUUCAUUGGGAAACUUCUGCAUCAUGAGAUUGUCCCCUAGGUUAACUAUUCAAUAUCCAAAUGCAGCCUCAGAGUUUUCAUUCACUAAACCAUCCAGAGAAAAAGUUUAAAGCUUGUGAAGUUUUAUCCCACUGCCUCCUUGAGUUUCAUUCAACAACUCAUUCAUUUCCAAUCUCUAUCUCAAGUAACAGAUAUACUAGUGCUUCUUUAGCGAUGUGAGUAGUGCUGCUCCUUGCUAAUCCACUAAGUAGCUCAAUGUACAUAUUGGAUAAUCCAGGAUAUUCCAGUCUGUUAGUUGUUUGUGCGCUUUAUACUUUUGAGAAUUCAUGUGAGGUUCAUGGAAUAAUUGGAAGAACUCUAAUUAUCGCAGAAGUUGGAUGACCUACUUCCUAAAUAUGCAAUUGGACUAGUUAUUUCCAAAAUAAUGGAGCUAAGCAGUGAUAUUGAAGGCUUAACUUGUCCCUUGCCUGUAGACUUAUCAAAACAUCUUUUUAUGGUGCAUAUGUUCCAAUAAUAUGCAAUCAGGUUCAGCAUCACAAUAAUAUUUUCUUCUUAUUUUGUUCUUUUCUAUUUUUCUUGUUCAUCUUCUAUGCCGCUAAUUCCUUUUCUUUAAUGGGUAAUCCUAUUGCAAUAGUUGUCUAUUUUCAGGUCUUCCCAUAAAAGAUAAUGAUGAAUCAAUGAUAAUGAUGAUCAUUCGCGGCUGCUGAACUAUCUAUUUACCAGGAACAAGAUAUAGCCUUUAGCCAUUAAACAAUAGUCGUCAAACUAAUUAAAUCUUACCUGAUUAGUUUCGAUAUACUCCUAAGACACUGUUGCUUAUUGUUCAAACUUCAAACCAAGGUUGGAGGAAUCGGUAUCGGGCACCGUACUGGUUCUCCGGCGGCACGAGUCCGUACGGGCCAUGCCAGGCCUGUACUGACGAGGGUACGGUACUGUGGGAGAGAGAAAAAAGAGAGAGAGAGAAGGAGGAGAGAGGGAGGGAGACUUGUAGAGGGUGGCGGACGCCGGCAGAGGCCCCGGGGGGCCGGCGGAGGCCGCAGAGGGCGAGGCCGUAGCCGGUUUCCCUGUUUUGUUCAAAAUAGGAGCCCGACCGUGGCUUACAAAAUUAAAGAAUUUUACGAAACAGGGUCCGGCUGUGGCCUUGUCCCCCGCCGGCCUCUGCUGGCGUCCCGACCUCUCCCUCUCUCUCUCUCCCCUGCUCACUCUCUUUCCUUCUCCUCCUCCAGCUCUGGCAACGGAUCUCAUUUCCGUUGCCAGAACCGUACCAGUGAGCUAUUGGUACAGCUUAGAAUGGCCGAAACCCUCUGGUUCGGAACGAUUCCGCCGACCUUGCUUCAAACAUAUUGUGUUGAAUCUCUAUGAUAUGCCUAUGUCAACAGUAAUUAAUUACAAUUUUCAGUCUUUUAUUCUAUAGCUAAAAAAUGUUGACUUUGAUUUCCAAUAACAAUAUGAGAAGACAGCCGAAUUCCAAAAAUCUGGGAUAGAAUUAAGGGCAUCAUUCAUAUCAAAUAAUAUUCACAAGUAUGGUUUUUAUGAGAAAAUCACAAAUGCAGCAAUGCAUCAUGACAAACAACUUGCUCAUAAUGGAGGCAAUGUUACUGUUUAUCAAAACAAAAGGUCACAACAAGUGUCGGACAGGAAUUUAUGGAAUAUACGAAUAAGUCUUGUAAGUCAAGCCACAAGGAUCGCUCAAUUGAUAGAAGUGGAAGGCUACUAAUGGUGGGAAAAGAAAAAAGAGGAAAUUGAGAUUAGAGUUAUAGGAAGCAAGAAUACAAGCAUUGAGAUUUUCCACAAACAAAAGAACUGCUAAACAACCAAAUGAAGGUAUCAAAUAUGGUUCUCAAUAGUUAAGUUGAUCAACCAUACCUAUAUUUGAUCCAUGAUGGAAGAAGUUAGCUAAUGUCUGCAGUUUAAUAUACAAUGAAAGAGAAAAAAAAGGUGCCAGAAUUCUUAUUGUAGUGAUCCACAGAAUACUGCAAGUUUAUAUACAUGUGGAGAAUCUGAAAUUAGAUACACUAGAAGAAUUAGUAUACAAUCAAUCAAACGGAUGCAUAUUACCUUUGUGCCUUCAAGUUUCUUGGCAGUGUUCAGUAAACCAGCAUCUCCAGAACACCUUCUAACAAGCCAUCCACGAAUAACUGUUUGGUAGAAUUGAUGCAUUGGUAAGCCAAAUAUUAUGCUCUAAAUAGACCAAGUCCAAAAAAGCAUCUAAAGUAGAAUGUGGAGGUUCUAACCAGACUGUAUUACAACUGUAGCAUUACGAACAUCUAUAAAACUUUUUCUAGAAGAUUGAGAUUUUAUAUAUCUCUGUAAAACAAUUGCAGCUCUGUGUCUCUGUAACAAACCGGAGUAAAUCUGUCUAGUCUUCUCACCUCGAAUGACUGAAAAAAUAUAGCAACAAUUUAAAACUUUCAUAAUUUCUUAGUGACAUCAAUAGACAAAAACACCUAAUUAUAUAUGUACAACCAGAUCGCGAAACAAUCUCUCCAAUAUGGAACAAAUCAAAUAAUUAAAAAGAGAUGAGAAAAUACAAGAUUGCAAUGUAACAAUUGCUUUUCUGCGCUCCUUCACAUGAUGACGAGCUUUAUGUCCUCGGAAACAGCUUUGAACCCUUAAAAUACCAUGAAGGGUACGAUUUCUUGUAUCUUCAAGUGCACCAAUCUAUAAAUUGUAAAAUUUCAAUAAGAAGAACAAGAGAGUUGAUAUAGUUGUGCUAUAAUAGGAAAUAAAAAGGAGAAAAAGAAAAGGCAUCAAUGAAUUUGUGACAAUUUGUCAUGGCACUUGCAUGUUCUCCUCGUCAAGCUGAUAUUAUAUCUCAACCGAACAGUGGCUAUUGAGCAAGAUGAGUAAGAUAUGGAACAUAAACAAUCAUAGAAGAAAAGGGAAGAUAAAAAGAGACACCUCAAAAUAAUUUGAUAUUACAGGACUACAUGAACAGUUUGGAGAACUCAAAAAAAAAAUGAGCGAUCACACUUGAAUGAGCACUCGAGCAACUAUUUGCACAUUCUACAAUCUAGAGUAUUUAUCUCACCUGUCCAGUACGGAAGAACAAUUUUGUGUAGCCAACUUGAUACAUCUCUGGGAGAAUAUUGAACUGUUGAAGAAUUGCCACAGAAACGCUAAGCGGAUCUUGAGAUGCAAUAUUCUCAAGAAGAAGAAAUCCGUACCUGAUAACAGUAAGAAAGAAAAAAGAUACUUGUACCUUGGGAAAUUAAUAAAAGAUAUACAGGCUUUCUCAACUGCAGAAUCAGUAUAUGGAUUAUUACCUUCUAGCAAAUUUUUGGUGAGACAUUCUGGUAGGAUAGCCAGAUCUUGAUAUGCGAACAACUUCCAGAACUCCACAACAUCUUAGUUGCUGGAGUACAAGCCCUUGUUCAUAAAUUGCAGGCAGUUGCAAGUUAUUUGGCUUAAUGCAGCGUAUGAAAUGGGGUGUUGUGUUUUCAAGCCUUUGCAUCAGUUGAAAUAGUUGCCCCUAAACCAAAAAAGAGAAUAAGAGCAGGCUAGUUUACCAACUCCAUUCUGACAUAGUUAAGAGAGUUUUGGAUGGUAUAUUUUAUGACAUAACUUUGGUUUACAAGUUGUCAAUUAACGGAUCUAAAGUAAAUUUUCACCUCACUAUAUACAUUGGACUAGUAAUAAGGAAGUAAGCUUUACAUGAGCCAUAAAUGGUCCAGUAUAUAGCUUAAGGGAUAAAAAUUAAAUAUAAACGAACCCUUCUUUCCUAGGAAGAAAAAGGCUCCUAUGAUGAUAUUCCUUGAAGACAAUAGAAGAUGCAAAAUAAUAAUGAAUGAAAAAUGAAAGAACUUACAAAACAUGAAUUUCCAGAACUCCAUUUUAAAGACAAAGAAACUUCAAAAUACUUGAUAAUGAUGACCAUAAACAAUGUAAAGCCAACUGAUACCUAUGAUAUGUCUCUUAGAUAUUGACCUAAAUAAAAUAAGCUUUCCAAACGACCAAAAGUUUAGCUCCUUGAAAUCAACAUUGAGCCUUUCAAAGAAGUCAGGUAAAAUUAUAUGAGCUACUCUUUACUGCACUACAAAAAGGAAAAAACUAAUAAAUCAAAAGAAUUUCCAAUAACAAAAGGAAUGCAUGCUUCUAGGUAAGGUGAUUUUAAUUUGAUCAGGCCCAUCAGGGACUAUGCCACUUAACCUGACAUAUUGUUGAACCAAAACAGGACCAUUUGAAGAUACAAGGUACCCUAAAUUACUAAAUACUUCAAUCAAAAGAGGGAGAAGUGAGCCUAAACGAGUAAUCUACCAAUUGGUUCCUCUGCUCUGCAAAAGGUAUAACUUUCACAUAUUUAUUAGACCCACUGCAUUGAAUGAAUAAAGUAAUCAAAAGAAAACUUGACAAGAUGUCACAACAUUGUUCUUUUUCAAGCUAUGCAGAUAAAGUUGUUUUGAGCAACAAUUUAAGGUGCACGACGACCAAUGACUUGACCAGUAGAGUAUCUAUCACAAGAUUGAAUCAAAAUAUUCAAAAUAUAAAUACAAAGGACCAAGUAGGUUCGCCGUACCGGUACCGAACCCCGUACCGGUGCCGCACUAGCAUAAGCGUACCGAAUGUCGGUACGGUACGGUACGCGGUACGUCAGGCGUACCGACACUGGCGUACCGAUACCGAUAUCCGUCGGUACGGAUAUGGUACGCCCGGUACCGACCUGUACCGAUCGGUACAGCAUACCAUACUCCAACAAUUGCAAAUUACAUUAGAAUCUUUCCACAAAAAAUGCUAAUAAAGUGCUCCAAGUAGAAGACAGUUGCUAUCACAUGGUUUCUCUACAAGAUUUCAGCUGACCAUGGUUGCUAAAACCCUAGUGCCAUAAUUGGGUUCUUGAACUAAGUAUAGAUUUCAAUAGUUGCAAAAGGCAAUUGUCAAUGAGAUAGAAUUAAAAAAAUUGUUUAUUAGAAUGUUCAGAAACCUGAUAUGCAAACAUUAGAAAUCAUAAUCACAAUCAUCUAGACUUUUCCAACUACCGGGAUUGGCUUUAUAGAAUCACAUUCACCAAGAGUCUCUAUCAAGGCUGCUUAUGAUGUUAGACCAAGUUUCUCUAUAUCCUUCCUCCCAACCUCCACCCAUGUUAAAUUAGGCCAUCCUCUUCUUUUCUUACAACUGUCAACCAAACUAAAAGUACCUCUCCAUAUAAGAGCCUCCUUAGAUCUUUGUUGUAUAUAUCUAUACUAUUUUAAUUAAUUUCCCAUCAGUUUGUCCUUAAUUUGUGCAACUCCUAUAUAUCCUAUAAUAUAUUCAUUUCUCAAUCUACCCUUCCUAGUUGUAUCAUACAUCCAUCUUAAUAUAUACUUUUAUUCCCAGCACUCAAACAUACAACAUUGCAGGCCUUACUUUUGUCUAUAAAACUUCCAGUGAGUCUCCAAGGCAUUCACCUAUCAAAUAAUAUUCCAAAUGCGCCUCUUCACUUUAUCCAACCGUCGAUACUAUGGAAUGCCGUACCGGUCCGGUCCUAGACCGGUACCGGAACGAUAAAAAAACCGGUAUUUCCUGGUGUUUUAUCCGAACCGGCCGGUUCGGGCCGGUACCGGCCUCGUACCGGUGGGAACCGGCCAGUUCGCACCGGUACGAUUUUUUUUUUUUAGAACCACAGCGCCACGCGCUGUGGUUUUUGAAACCACCGCGUACCGGCCGGUACGUACCGGACCGGACCAGUACCGUACCGGUCCGGCCGGCCACCGGUACGGCGGACCUUGGUCUAUACACACACACACGCACACAUAUAUACGUGCUAUAUAUAUAUAUAUGUAUAUAUAUCUAUGUGUGUGUGUGUGUACAUGUGCGUGCGUGUAUAUGUGUGUGUGUAUACAACAAUCUUAAUUGAUAUUAUAUCUCAUUAAAUUUGCAUUCCAUAUAUUCUAUCUUUGUUCUACUAAUUUUUAAGCCCUUAUCCUUAAAAGUUUCCUCCAUAAUUCCAAUUUAGUAUUUAAUCAAGUAAGCAAAAAGGAAAAGUAAUAUAUCAAACUCAAAGAAACAGUCAAUCAUACUGAAACUCAUUUUGGCAUCAUUCAAGAAUAAACAAGCAAAGAAUGCAACACUUAUGAGUUAUGACUCCUCUAAUUUGCCAAACACUUUUAUUUUUUUGUUAUGACAGAAAAGACAACAAUAUCUUGUUUAAUAUCUACUACAGUGUGUAUCAAGAUUCGCAAUCUCGGUAUUGGACCCCGUACCAGUGUCACUAAUAAUGCACCGGUAUAGCACGAUAUGAGGUCUUUUCGGCAUACUAAGUGUUCGUACACCCGUAUAGAGUACCGGUACUGAACCAAUACGUAUGCCCUGUAACGGCCAGUUCAGGGUGGUACAGCGAACCAUGGUGUGUAUAUAUAGAAGUAAACCCCUUACCUUAAACUUUGUUGCAACACUUAGCCUUAGAGAAUCUGCGGCACUGGAUCUAUAUGGUUUGCUGGCAACAUUUGCAGAUUGAGCAAGCAUUUUGGAUGCAAAUAUUGGAGGAAGAUGGCUUUUGCAAGAAGCAAGAAGUUGAAUAGAAUCCACGUGCAAUAAAUCCCUAUUCUUCUCCAAAAACCCCGAUGUGUCAUAGGCCACCUGAUUACAUGUGUUAAGCAUCAAUAAUUUUGAAUUAAAAUUUAAAAAAAUAUUAUUUGGCACAUUUAGGAAGGAUAUCACAAGCAACCUCCCCUGCAUAAUGAUGAACAGUGAAAGCUUUGCCUCUUUCCCCCCUAAAGCAAGGAUUAGAGUUAAGAUGCUGCUUAAGCUUGUUUGCAAAAGUUAGGUCAGUGCCAUUUGGAAAAGUAGACUCCUCAUCCAGAAGAGACAGUAAUCCUAAUGGUUUCUGCAGUAAAGAGAAGACAGUCAGUAAAUAUAUAUUAAUAAUGAGUCAUGAUAAAUACUCUAGAAUAAUUAUAUAGUAGCAUUUUUCACAUUUCUACUAUCAUAAUAGCAGAAUUGUAAAAGAAACUGUAGUUUAGGUUAAAGUAAAAUAUGUAUGUUGUAUGGUACGCUCCAAUAGUUAAUGGAAAGAAAACUUUGACCAUACACACAUGGCUCGGACGAUACACUUCUUAAUUCUCCGGCAGUGGAGCUAUUUUUGGUUGUACAUGAGCAUCACAAUAGGUGCUUAUAUUAGAUUUUUUUUUAUAUAUACAUGUGCAACCUAUUCACAAUGAUAAGACCUUGUUUUGAUGCACAUCCAAUGCCAUAAAGCCAUGAAUUAUCAAGUAGCUGUCAAGUUCAAGUGGAACAAAGACAAGUACACAUACAUGUAUGAAAUGCAUAUGUAUGUGCAAUAUGUCCACCAGGUCUUUUCUGAAAAUUCAAUAAGAACCAGUAUCAGAUAAAGAGAAUAAGGUUGUCUACUGGUUCUAUGGAGUGAGUCAUGUCCUCAAAUACUUCCAUGAAUCCUGUAGCCUGUGCCAUGAUUAUAAAAAUAUGAUUUGACAAGGCUAUCUGUGUCAGCAUGCAAUCUUUUGAAUGGGCAUGAUCCACACAACACAAAUGAAGAAAGGUGACUCAAAAUAGAUCACAAUAGGCUUGUUUGAUAUGAUUGUGUAUGUAUACAAGUUACUGAAAUUACUGGGACAUGAAAGUCGACAUAUAUUGUUAUGCAAAACUUAGUCUGCAUCAAAGUCGAGCACAACCAUCACUGUUAAUAAAAGAUCAAUCAGACACAACAAGAUAAAGAUGUGGUAACACCAAGCAAAGACUGCUAUAUGAUUUCUCGAUGCCAAUACUCUAGAAUAGAUUUAGAUGUGGAAGAUUAAUCAUCCUCUUUUAAAUAUCAUUAUUUUAAUAAUUGGCAUUUGAAAUACAAAUUAUAGAAAAUUGAUCAUGAAAUGCAAUAUAGUAAACAAUAGAAAAAACUUACUUUCUCAAAAAGAUAAAGACAAUCCUGAUUGUCUUCAAAGUCAACCUUUGCCCAGUCGAUGCCAUCUUGGAUAUAUUCCUGAUAUAAGAAAUCAAAACUGAGUAUCAAGAAUUUUGGAUAUAAAGAAAAAUUGAAAAAAACAUUUGGUACAAUUAUGUUAGAAAUAGUAAAAUUAUAUAAUACAAACUUCAAUUUACAUCCAUGUACAUUGAAUUCUUAAACUGGUAAUAGAGAAACAUGAUGGAUUUUAUAGAAUUAAAGUAAGCAAUGAAGAAACUGGAGCAUGUAAGAUGAAUGAUAGACUACCAUUUAACUAAUUCAUAUGGCUUUGGAUCCAAUAAACAACUAUGGCUUCUUAAAACACAGGACAUGAACAACCAAGUACAAAUUUACUACUAAAAUGUGCGCUAACAAGACUACACAAUGAGAGGAUGCAAUUUAGAUCAGCUAGAGGGCAUAAUAUGGCAAAUUGUGGUGUUUAAAGCAAAUUUGAAAACUAAGAAACUACAAAAUGUACUUUUUUCCCUUUUGGUUUGCUCAAGACUAAUAACAAUGAUCGGGUUCAUAGUACCUAGAAUUAUAAUGGAGAAGAAUAUCAAACAUCCGUGAAACAAAACUAUUGACCCAAACUAUUGAAUCUCCAUUCAAAUAUUCUAAGUGCCCCUUGGACGAAGGACACGCCUAAAAAACAGCUUGUCUAAACAACUCCUGUGUAAACUAAAAUAAUCAAGUGUACUAUAGAUGAGGAAGAAUUCAUGGCGAGAUUAGAUUUCAAAUCUAGGUGGUGGGCUUGCCCAUAAAUAGAACCUAAUUGGCAUAUAUCUAGUUUGGUAUGGUGAUUUGAACAGGAAUGAUCUGGUGCUGCUGAUGCAUUUAAAAGGUUUGACAAAUUUUCGCAUGGUUUUAUUUUAAGGCCCCAUCCUCAGUCAUCUAAUCAUUUUCCACAUGCUAAUGGCCAUGAUGCACAUUGUUUGAUUCACCCUAAAGAACGAUCCCUCAUAUGGAAUAACAUAUGAACUAAGUUAUAGAAUAGACUUAUGGACAUGAACUCUUCCCAUAGGAGUUUAGCUAUAAUAAUUCAUGGUAGGAGGUAUUUUAAGCAUCUUAUUUGUUGGUGCAUGCAAGAAGGAGACCUAAGUUGACCUAGGCUCCCUUAUCCCUCUCGUACUCAUUAUGGGAGUUCCCCAAGGAUCUCCUCUCUUUAUACACUUAAGGCCUAUAACCAGGUGUAGUAUAAGACUCAGGUUGAUGACCACACCACUGAUACAAAAAUAGAGCGGACUUAAUAGUACAGAAUGAAAGACAAAUAGACAAGUGUUGGAGCAUAAAAACAUAAGAAACUCUCAGAAGAUUUUCGCAGUUCACAUACUCAUUAUUAAGCACAGAAGGGUCCUGCGACCAAGUCAAGCUGCAGUUCACAUAUUCUCAUUAUCAAGCUUAGAAGUUAGAAGAGUCCUGUGACCAAGUCAAGCUUCUAAAUCAUGAUAUCAACUAGAAGAAUAUGAAAAUAUGAUCAUGUUAAACUCAAGAUAUUAAUUUUUCCAGUGCAGUUGAACAAUAUUCACUUUCAGUUUCAUUGAUCAUCUAUAUGUAGCACAUUUAGGGCAAGUUUGGCAUUGCUAUAUUUUCUUUUUUAUUUUUAAAAAGAAAAUUAGAGAAAUCGAGACAAAAAACAUGUUUAUGCUAUUGUUUUUAUGUUCUGUUUUUCCUAAUUAUUUUUAUUAUUUCUAGAAAAAAUGAAAGUAAGAAAUCCUUACUUUCAAUAAUUUCAAUAAUAAGAAACUUAUAUUUUUUUACCACCACCAACACCUCCACUAUCACCGCCACCUUCACCACCUCUACUGCCACCAUUUCAUUGCCACCGAGGCCAUCACCUCCACCGUCAUUGUCACCUCUACCACCAUUGCUACCACAAGAGGGUCAUCACCUCCAUCAUUACCCCCUUUUGCAUGCCAUUGCCAUCAUCAUCGCCUCCACAUUGCCAGCACCCUUGGUGCAACUGCCAUCGUUAUUAUCAUCAUCGCCUCCACACCGAUGCCCCAUGCCCACUACUGUCGUUGCCACUUUCACUAUACCAAUAUAACCAUUAUCACCACCUCGGCCAUACCGCUAUCUCCCCUACCACCAGCACCAUUGCCGUCUUUAUUGCCUCUACUACAACUACACUCGAGCGCUACUAUCACCAUCUCCACCAUCAUUGCUAUGUUUAUGUUUUUUAAAAUAACUUAACUAUACCUAACACGUUUAUAUUUAAAAUUUAUUUUAACAAACAAAAAAGAUUUCUAUUUUUGUUUCUAAAAAAAAUCAAAUUGAUGCCAAACGGGACAUUAGUAUCCAUAUCAUAUUAGGAUUGUUGCCAGGUUUUAGAUACCGAUACCGAAUCCUGUAUUGUUUUUUCGUUAGAAUUAUAUGGUACGUGUAUUAAUCAUAUGCGUAGAAACUAACAAUAUAUUAUUACUCUAAAAGCAAGAACUUGCGGUGGAUCUUCAUCACCCCCUUGGUUGUAUACUACUAAGUUUACCAAACUACCCUCAAAUGUGUCUUUUAAAAUCUUUUAAAGAUGUGUUUUUAAGUGGGUCCUAGCUAUCCCAAACUGAAAAAGAAAAGCCAUAAAAACUACCAAAUAUAUACUUAUGAUAUGAAACAAGAUAUAACCCAACUUUAAGCCCCAUCAAGCUAUCUUGAUCAAGUUAAACUUUUGUGUCAAUUCAAAAUUAACUAAUUUUUAGUGAGGUGCUUAGUAUUUAUUUUGAGUAUGAAUACCAAAUUCAGGUUAGUACAAUUAAUUGCAUGAAUCAACUCAUUUAUAUUUGACAUGGUCUCAAGAUGCAUCAAGCUACUCACCUUAGACAUCAAUCAAAAUUUAAAAAAUAAUAAUAUAAUAUUAGAUGUAUUAUAAUAGAAUGACCGAAUUAACUCAUCAAAGCAACUUAUAUGUCAUUAGCAAGGAUGUAAAUUGGUCAAAUCAAGCUUUACUUUUCCAGAUCCACUGCUCUAAUCCUAGCCAAAAGAUAGACUUGUUAAAGAUCAUAUCAAAGCAAUGAUAUAACUCAAAACCCUUUUUGCCUGUAAAUAAAAUUAACUCAACAAACUACUUAAGCAAAUCCAGUCUAGCUAGGUUGAAUGCAUGGAAAGUUAAACAACUAGCUAGCUUAGAUAAAAGCCAUGCUUGUUCCAAAUCUGACAAGCCUUGAUCAAGUUCGAUUUUGGGCAGGUUUAACUCAAGUACAACUUCAAAUACUUAAAGUUGCCCUUCAAACUCUAUCGAAUUGCAAACUAAGCAGUAGCUUAAUGGUCACAGCCCCUUGCUUAGGAGCAAGGGGUACAGGUUUGAAUCUUGAAUUUAUCCUUCAAAUAUUUGAUCCUAUGUCGAGUCCCAGCAAAAACCCAGGUUUAGUUCCUUCGAGUGGGUGGGAUGUAAAUUCCCCCUAAUCUCAAAUAUAUAUAAUAUAAAUAUAAUUGAUAUCAUCAAGUAAGAAUGGACCAGGCCUACCUCUCUCCUUUGGUGUUCUGAUACUAGGUCCAUUUGAAUAGUAGAUGCAAACAAAAAGAAAGGGACAUAACCUCUAUUGGAAUUUGUCAUAUUAUAUGGAAAGAGGGAAGAAAAUAAACACAUUCAUUCAAUGUUUUAGCUGCCCUCUGACUGAAAAUCUUUCAACUACUAUAACUUCUAUUCAUGAUUGCUCUUAAAUCUGGCCAUAUCCAUCAUAAGCUACAGAAAGACGCAUGGCAUUUAGGUGAGGAUCCAGGAGGAGGUUUAGGUGCAUGAUGUAUACCAAAGUCUUUGGAACGUGCAUGAUUGGGCUGUAAACCUCACAACUAAAUCUUGUUAGACCGAGAUGGGUUCCAUUUGCAUAAAAAAACCCUCCAACAUUUCAACUCCCAAUCUCAACAUUCAUUGUGGACAUUCGUUGUUCAGGUUUGCCACAUGUCAAAAUUCUUAAAACUUCAAAUUAAUAGAUUUAACAUAUUAGUCGACUUAAUAUGUUAGGAUCUCUUCAUGUCCUUUCUCACUACUUAGAAGUUGAUAGACACGGGUGGCAAAGAAUAGAAUAACAAAAUUACUACGUAAUGCCAUGAAUAAAUUAAACUCAUUUCAAAAGAAACAUUUUUCACAUUAAUAUUGCUGACAAGUUAACAUUUAGAGUAUCAUAGAUAUAUAAAUGAUAGCAUACAAUAAUAGAAUUAUAAAAAACAUAAAAUAAUAUAAUUAAU
RNAcentral lists this long non-coding RNA (27231 nucleotides) under Phoenix dactylifera (date palm). RNAcentral describes it as "long non-coding RNA (PDAC_LNC006344)". Lineage: Eukaryota; Viridiplantae; Streptophyta; Magnoliopsida; Arecales; Arecaceae. The record is from RNAcentral.